Molecule: non-coding RNA, 990 nt
Organism: Cinara cedri
Lineage: Eukaryota; Metazoa; Arthropoda; Insecta; Hemiptera; Aphididae
Source: the annotation of a GenBank genome assembly
CGACUGUGACAUACCAACGCCCGUCGAAAUCUAACACAUGCGAAGAAUAAAACUAUUACAGAAAGUAGAAACACACCCCGUAUAUUUUCAAACAUGUUUUAUUUCCAUCAACAUAGAGUGUACUACACACCUCUAGGAAAUAUAAUAUCCUCCUCAAAAAUUGAAAUCAGCUACCACACUAUCCUGGUUUUACGAAAAUGCAGAUAAUUUCAUGACGGUCGGAAUUUACAUUCCGGAAAUAAUCAAUGCACUACUAAAACACCUCAUGUACCCGCAUCAAACUGAAACGGCCCAGAAAAAUCUAAUAAGACAGACAAUUGGUCAUGAAGUAAUAAAUCAAGGAUUUGAUACUAGGAAUAUUAUAAGCGAACAAACAAUAAGUAAUAUGGUCCAUUCUGAAUUACAAAAAUUUGGGAUAGGACAUGUCGCAUUCAGCCUCUCAGGAAUCUUUGUGAUAGGCAAAGUUUCUCUAAUGACUAUCAACACCAUACUGAAUAUAUCCAUCCUUUACAACACAUUUGGUUGGAGCAUUAAAUUAAUAGCGGGCAUUUUCUAAAACAUAACGCAUUAUCUAAUGCACAAAGAGAACUCGAACAGAUACGGGGCUGUUUCUACUACUAUGACCAACAAGACAACGGAAGAAAAACACCCUACUCCACAAUUAUAUCCAGAUCUUCGAAGAACUUCAAUAUAAAAUAAGUAUCCACCACACAUCACAUGCAUACGGACCCCCCUUUUAUAUUAUAUUCAUUUUACUCUCUCCCCUUAUUAAUACUACAAUUUAAUAUUAUACAUUGAUUUCUUUAUAAAAUAAUAUGCAUUGUUAUGAGGGCAUAACAAAAAAGAGACUGGGGUGGAUGUAAUGAUAUGCUAUUUAAGCUAUCAUACAUUAUGUAAAAUAAAAUAUUAUGUAAUGUUAAUAAAUCAAACAAUUAAUAACAGGAAUGAUAGUAAAACGGAGGCCGGACACUUCCAAUAAACACAGAGUAU